Non-coding RNA from Equus caballus (horse), 6737 nucleotides. Lineage: Eukaryota; Metazoa; Chordata; Mammalia; Perissodactyla; Equidae. The record is from RefSeq and is a predicted model, not a curated record.
UGGCACCUGUCUCAACUGCUUCCGAUCUCCUCUUCCAGUUGCUUCUAUUUGGGCCUAUUUUCUCAGGCUCUCUCUCCACCACCUCUUUUCUUUCUAUCUCCUUGUGUCUGUGUCCCGCUUCAGACCUCUUCUUUCGCCCCGUCUACAUUCGUCUGUUCUGCCUCUGUCUCUGGUGCCUCCUCCUCCAUUCCCCAGAGGACUCUGGGAAAUGCCUGAGCGAGCCACGCUCAAUGCGCGAGCGCUUUCAUCCCGAUCCAGGUGGCUACAAUCCAGUACAGGAUUUACGGUGCCCUGACCCUGAGCCGUCAAGAAGGAACAGCCAGAUUAAUGGGGUGGGCGGGCUGGGGUAAUAAUCGUUUGUUUGAUGUGACAAGCCUGAUAGGCGUUGAUUUACUUACAGACUGAUGGGCUUUUAAUUGAGCACCUCCAUCCCAGUCACUUCAAAGGCAGGGGAAGUUGACAAGGGGCCCCUUUCACGGAGGGUUCCCGGUGACUGACAGCCCCCUCUGCUGACGCUCCCCUCGGCCCAGGAUUGGGCCCGGCAGCCUUUCCCCGGCCCUCUGACAAAGUAACACAUUUUCCGUGUAACUCAGAAAUGGCCUUUUGUCUGCUGCCAGGAAAGGCAGGCCCUGUUCGCAGGGCCCCGCGCCUCCCAGAAGGACUUUUAGGGAGGAACAGCUAUAAGGAAAAGAUUACAACUUCAAGUUAUUGGCCAUAGGAAUGAGAUUGUUCCUCAAACACAGGCCUCCUCCUGGAACUUCAUAGUUAGGACUGGAGCUGAUGAACCUCUCCUGACACCACCAAAACCAUGGGAUGUAUCAUCUUUGACACGAACCUUUGCCUUUUCACGAGAAUGAACAUAAAAGGUCUAGAUAAUCCAGAGGACUCGUUAGGGUUCACUUGUUGGAAAGUAUGCUAUAUUAAAAUAUGUAUUUGUCAAUAUCAUGGAUUCUCUUAGGCCAGACUUGAUUAUUUCUCUCCUCCUCUUUCCUCUUCUUCUACUAAACAAGGGAGAAGGAGGAAGUAUGAGAAGUAUGCACGUUUUCUUAAAUGCAAAGAUGGAAAUGGAACCCUUUAUGAGCCUUCAAAGUUCUUUAAAGGAAUAUGAUCAGAAGGUCCCAGAGGUACUUCCCAGGAUUCGCUGCUUGAGUCCCCCACUGAACUUCUAACUCACUCCAAGGCUAUCCCACCAGCUUUCUUAAAAGAGGCUUGUUUGGAAUGCAUAUGGCAUUGGACCCAGCAAUUCUACUCCUAGGAAUUCAUCCUAUGUAGUUAUACCAGCACAGAUGGAGAAUUAUAUAUAUUAUUAUAUAUAUACAUACUUAUACACAUACAUAUAUACAUAAGUUAUUCCCUGCAGGAGCAAAAGAUGAGAAACCAUCUAAACAUCCACAAGUAGGAGACCAGUCAAAUAAACUGUGGCACAUCCAUGUAACAAUGCCAUGAAACGGAAAAAAUAAAUUCAUAAAACACAGCAGCCUGUGAUGCAAUCUCCAAAAUAUAUUAAUUUUUUUAAAAAAAGCAAGUGCAGAACAGUUUGUAGAGUAUGUCACUGUUUGUAUAUAAAAGAAGGAAGGAAGAGAUAUGUAUUUGCUGAUAUAUGUACAAAAUACCUUGGGAAGGAUGGACAGCAAACUCAUGGCAUCGAUGCCCUGGGGAGAGAAACCAGACAGCUACAGGGAGGUUUUCUCACUGUACAGUUUCCUAGCUUUGGAACUGCUGUCAUGAGAAUGCACUUCAUCAUAAAUAAAGAAACUCAUUUUUCAAUAAAAUAAAAAAUAAUUGAAAUCACUCUUAAAGGUGAUUUUUGUUUUGUAAAUCCCCGCUCUGGAUGGACCACUACACUUCUAUCCCUCUGGCCUUUGGUUCGGUUAGGACCCUGCCUCUCAGGUUUCCUGCUCUAAGCAGAGGCUGGCAUGAGGCCACCAAAAUAAACAUUCCUCGAAAUUGUUCCGACAGCUUGGAAUUUGGUUUUAUCAAACACAGCAGUGAUAACUGAGCCCCUGCCCAAGCAGCUCUCCCCUUGUCUCUUGUUGUGUUUGUUGAAAGGAGUCUGGAGCUGCACAUCCCAGCUAGUUGGGAACCCAGCCUCGAAGGGGGCAGUUUUGGCAAGUUGAGAGUCUUAUCCACCAGAAGUGGGGGUCAUAGAAACAUCACCACCUUCAUGGCUGAAACCCACGGAAGGGUCAAAAGCACGUGUGACACCAGCCCUGGCAGCUGAGACACUCAUAGUCUGCCACCACCAAGAUCUUCCAGAGGGGAGGACCUGGGGUGCCCACUGGUUCCAGCUGCUGGAAGCUCAGCGCAUGGGGGCGGGAUGCUUGGGUAAGCCUGGUCCUGCUUCUCUUUCAGGGGCCCUUUGCUCUGCUCUUCGACUCCCCUCAUGCCCAAACGAGAGAUGGUGCAUGAGCACACCCGGCAGGGUUCAUACUGGCACCCAGAAGUUGCUCAGUAAGCGUUAGUGGAAUCUGGAUUUAACCCUGAGUAAAUGCACCAAGAACAGUGAGUAACUAAACUACAGAGUACUAAGCAGGAUUCAAGUUAAGGCCUCCUGCUUUUUUUUUUUUUUUUUUUUUUAUCUGCAAAAGCAGCACGCAGAUACCCAAAGGAAAGGGCCGUCCUGCCUCUCCGGAGCAGGGAACAUGUAUACCGGAGAGGUGGGAGUCGCCAGGGGCCAGUACCUGCUAUGGGACAACGUGAGGCCGCACCUGCCAAGGGACUGAUAAAUAGUAAUUGAAUGAAUUAAGUCAAUUCAGUUCAAUUAAUUAAAUGAACGUUCCUCUUACUUCCUUUUGUGCCUCAGUUUUCUCUCUACCAUAUUCUCAUUCCUGAAGAUGAAAGGAAAUUCCUGAUGGUGAAAACCAGCCCUCUGGGAAACGGCAGAAGUCAUUUGUUUCAGAUUCUCCGGCUGCUCUCCCUGCUCUAGGCCCCUCUGGCCCUCAGUGCUGCACUCAGAAGACUGGCUCAGGAAACAAGCACUGGGAUUGGCCAUUGGUUCUGCCACUUUCUCGCAGUGUAACUUGGGCAAGUUACUUAACCUCUCUGGGCCUCCGUGCCUCAGCUACAAACCAGGCCUAGUAAUAGUACCCACCUCACCGGUUUGUCGUGAGAAGUAACUCAGUUAUUAUAUGUAAGGAGCUCAGAACCAUGUCUGGCACACAGUAAGCACUCAAUAAAUGUCAUUAUUACCCUGGGCGAAACAGUCUCUGGCUGCUAAUCACAACUGAGGUGUUGGCAGAUUACUGAGGAAUGAUUCCUCCCGGCAGUAUUUGCAACUUAAAAGAGGAAUCUUCAAGAACCUUGAAGGCCCAAAGGAACAAAGCGGUCCAGGGUGAAUGCCCAGGGCUAAGGUUGAUGUAUGGGGCGGGGCAGAUGAAGCAGGAGAACUUCAAAAGCUCACCUACUCACCUACUCGCAGCCCCCUCUCCCCGCCAGCCCUGCCUAUCUCCCCGAGGGCUGAGAGCUGAUAAAUGAAACCACCUCUUCAAAGCACCCUCCUCAAGGACCCGGAUCAAACACGGGGCUGGAAGAUAAGCUUCAGUCUACAUCUCCUUUUGUCCGUUCCUUCCCACCACAUCUCCAAAGGAGAUUCUAGAGGGAGGAAAAGUAGUUAAUUCCUCCCGCUUUUAUCAAAAGGAGGUGCCUCCCCAUCCACGGGGCAAUCAGCGGCGAUAGAGAACCAGGGAGGGAGCGAGGAAGACCUCUUCCAGGCACUCUGCCAGCGGUGGCUGUGUGACUUUAGAUUCCCCCAGAAGCUCUCAGAGCCAGGGUCUUCAUCCAUCAAAAGACAUAAAAACACCUGCCCAAAAUAACUCUGAAAAUUGUUGCAGGACAAUGAACACAAACAUGUACUGGGGAAAAGAUACUUUAACAUGCUUAUAUAGUUAACAUUUUGAAAUAUACAAAGUCAUUCUCCUAGAAUCUUUUUGGGAAUACAGAGUGAGAUGCGAUACCAAUCAAUAGCCCUCUCUAUGUAAAACUCUCUUUCAUUCAUCAACAGACAUCCAUUGGGCACUCACUGCAUUCAGACUGCCUGGAUUCACACCCCAGCCCCACCUCUUAGCAGCUGGGGUUUUGGGCAAGUUACUUAACCUCUCUGUGCCUCCAUUUCCUCCUCUGUGAAUGGGGGUAAUGAUAGGACCUACCUCAGAGGGCUUCUGUAAGGAUUAAAUGAGAGAAUGCAUGCAGAGUGCUUAUGACACUGCUUGGCUACCGUGAGAAUGAUACUUAAACUCCCCACUAGGCAAUAAGAAUACAAAGAGGAUGAGGACAAUACAGAAGCAUUCACAGUCCAGUGGGAGAGUGGACAAGUAAACAACGACAGAUGCCAUGUGAUAAGUGUAAUAAUAGAACAUAAGACAAACUGUGAGAACAUGGAAGACAGAGCUACUCUAGUGGGCUGGCUGUUCUCAUUUGCCCCCACUGUUCCUCUGCCCGUCUGACCCUCUCAUGCCCGAAGCUGGGUCUGCAGCCUAGGGAUGGGGCAGACGCAGGAAGCGCCUCGGAAGGCCUGAGCACAGUGCGCCAGAUCAGGGCUCCUGGCCAAGACAGUAAUUGCCAGCCGCUGAAAGAUAUUAAGCGCCAGGGAGGAAAACCAAGUUCUCUAUGAGGCGGACUUUUCAGAGUUCUUACAGCUUGUAAAAAAAAAAAAAUGUAAAUACUUACCCAGUGAGAUAUUAUUUCAUGUUGUUGCCAUUAGAGUUUGAGUGUUAUGCAGAGAGAGACGAUCAUUCAGGCAAUUCCGCCUCAGCGAGGACUGAAAACUCCACAUUAACCCCACACAACAAAUCUACCAGCUCCAGCUCUCAACCUGACUCAGGCAUUUUCUCCCGGGUGGCGAGUUUUAUGUAAAUUGAAAUUGCGAAAAAAAAUCUAUAAAUAUUCAGAAUUUCCUAAAGGAUUUUCUUGAUGGUUUCCAGGGGGCAUUUUUUUAAAAGACAGAUUUGACUGGAGGCUAGCAGAGGGGGUGACUCUCAUUUCCAGAGAAUUCUUGGAUAUCUUGGGUCUUCCGGUCAGUUGGCAACGCUGAGACCCUCCAGAUCCGUUGCUGCCAUGCUCUUCAGAGCUGCUGCCCCACAGAUGACUCGUGCCUCACAACCCUCUUUACCUGGGACUUUCUUAGUGCCAAGCACUAAACAUGUGACAUGCAUUGUCUGCUUCGGGCCUCCUGACUUUGAGGUGGCCACUCUUACAUUUUGCACAUGAGGACCCCGCAGCUUAUGGAGGUUAGCUUGCUGGGGACCACACCAGCGGUGUGGUUCAGAGGCCUCCCUCCAGGAGACCACACCCCAAGUGACCAGGCUGCUACUCACCAGUCAUGUGACUUUGGGCAAGGGACUAAGUUCUCCACGCCUCACUCUCUUCAGCUGAUAAUAGUACCUGAUGCUUAUCACAUGCCCCCACACAGAAUCGUUAUUCUUCACCACAGUGGCACAGGGCAGUCGCCAGCAGCGCUCAGCCCUGUCCUAUACUAACAGUGCUGUUCACUCCCAGGGCAAUCUGAGAGGGCCUGGAUAGAGGGAGAUCCCGUAACCAUACAUCUGCCACUUUUCUGCAAGGGGAGGAUGUGUGCCAUGUGCCCUGUGUGACAACGUCUUGCACAGACUUUUCAACCGCACCCCUAGCACAAUGCUUUGCCCACAGCUGGCCCUCAAUAAUAGUGGCCCAACUGAAUACUGAGCCUUAUUCUCCAGGUGACAAGCCAUUCCUUUGAAAGUUGUCCUUGCUUUAGGCCACUAGGGCCCCUUUUAGGACUCUGUGUGGGUUAGCAGUUCAGCUAAGUGAAUGUCAAACUCUGAUUGUAAUAAUCAUCUAGUGGUCCUUUAAUUAGGCCUCUCGCCUAAGUAUGGUGUUCCAUUCUCUCUCCCAAGGUAAACGGAUGGAUCCGGCCAAAGGAGCCCUGCUGCCCUCACCACCACCCAGAAGGGAAGGGUGACCCCACUCCUUUGCUAGCAUUUUCCAUUGUGUGGGGGUGGGGUGGCGGGCAGGCCGGUCUCCACCUCCAUGCUGUCUGGCGCCCACCGCUCCUAUCAGUGAUUACUGCUGUGAGCUAGGGAGUGGGGUUUUUUUAAAGAUCAAAUUCCACACCCUCCACCCCGAGCCUGGCUGUCCUGUCCUGGCCUCCUCCUUCCUUUCAUCCGCUCACUACCUUUUUCUUCUCUUUUCCUCUCCAAACAGAGAGUACGUAUCCUAUCAUCUUCUGUUCUUCUCCCUCUCUCUUUUCUACUGCCUCCUGCUCCUCUUUUCCUUCCAAAUUCCUAAACGCCUUUUCUCUCUCCCCCUCCUCUUUCCUCCCAACUGAUUUCUCAUUAAUCAUUCCUAACACACAUCUGCUGGGGUCCUAGAAGGCUUUCUCGGCGGGCUUUCACAGCUGGGCUGGUUAUAAUAAUCAAGAAGGAGUCUUUCAUCUUUUACUGUCUCCUAGGUCUCCCCUCUUCCCAGCUCUUCCUCCUGCAAGGUGCCCAAAGGCCCACCCUUUCCACUCUGGAAGGCUCUCUCCUGCUCACCGUCUGCAUAGCAGUCUCCCAAAGGCCAAAGGGCCCUCUAGGUUGAAGCGGCCCUGCAGUGGACUCUUAACGUGGUGUUGGCAGUGACAGUGAUGUCAGACUGCAUAGAGGCUGGCAUGAGAAAAGCUACGGGGUGGGGAAGGAUAGAGACCACCACAAUCAAAUAACUGGGAUCGCUCCCCGGUCUCGUAUCCCUCUUGCCACAAUAUGGAAGACAUCUCCCACUCAAGG